Molecule: long non-coding RNA, 367 nt
Filed under: Canis lupus familiaris (dog)
Lineage: Eukaryota; Metazoa; Chordata; Mammalia; Carnivora; Canidae
Description: lncRNA (ENSCAFG00040015962.1)
Source: RNAcentral
CCCAGGGCAGGAGGAGGACGCCAUAAAAUGCUGCACUUCUGUUUGAGGUUCCCUAACCCAGCUGCAGCGCUCCGCGGAGCUUCUCGGGUGGCUGGGCCGCUUUGAAGGUUUACUUUCAAUUAAAAAAAAAAAUAAAGUAAAAUAAAAUAAGAAGAAAAGAAGCCAAAUCAGCAGCUGUCAGGGACGCGGGGAAGAUUUAUUCAGGGCGGUCAAAGGGGAGCGUGGCCGGCAGUCAGGGCUGCAGAGCAGAAGUUGCAAUUCCCAUGCCGAAGGGAACCACAGGUAACUGGAGAUGACAAAUGAAAGUAAGUAUCCAGCCCUACCCCCAUGAACUCUGAGCACCAGCUGGCCCCACCCCUUGGGCUGU